UACGAAGGGUGCAAACGUUGCUCGGAAUUAUUGGGCGUAAAGCGCACGUAGGCGGCUCUGUAAGUUGGAUGUGAAAGCCCUCGGCUCAACCAAGGAAGUGCAUCCAAAACUACAGAGCUUGAGUACUUAAGAGGAUCGCGGAAUUCCUGGUGUAGCGGUGAAAUGCGCAGAUAUCAGGAGGAACACCUAUUGCGAAGGCAGCUCGCUGGGACGUAACUGACGCUGAGACGCGAAAGCGUGGGGAGCAAACAGG
RNAcentral lists this ribosomal RNA (253 nucleotides) under uncultured bacterium. RNAcentral describes it as "partial 16S ribosomal RNA". It matches the Rfam family "Bacterial small subunit ribosomal RNA", at positions 524 to 776 of the family's 1533-position model. The record is from RNAcentral.